This 583-nucleotide ribosomal RNA is filed under the name uncultured bacterium. Its description in RNAcentral is "bacterial SSU rRNA". It matches the Rfam family "Bacterial small subunit ribosomal RNA", at positions 102 to 671 of the family's 1533-position model. The record is from RNAcentral.
ACGGGUGAGUAACACGUGGGCAACCUGCCCUUGAGACUGGGAUAACUUCGGGAAGCCGGAGCUAAUACCGGAUAAUAUGAGGAACCUCCUGGUUCUUUAUUGAAAGAUGGUUUCGGCUAUCACUUAAGGAUGGGCCCGCGGCGCAUUAGCUAGUUGGUGAGGUAACGGCUCACCAAGGCGACGAUGCGUAGCCGACCUGAGAGGGUGAUCGGCCACACUGGGACUGAGACACGGCCCAGACUCCUACGGGGGGCAGCAGUAGGGAAUCUUCCACAAUGGACGAAAGUCUGAUGGAGCAACGCCGCGUGAGUGAUGAAGGCCUUCGGGUCGUAAAGCUCUGUUGUUAGGGAAGAACAAGUGCGAGAGUAACUGCUCGCACCUUGACGGUACCUAACCAGAAAGCCACGGCUAACUACGUGCCAGCAGCCGCGGUAAUACGUAGGUGGCAAGCGUUAUCCGGAAUUAUUGGGCGUAAAGCGCGCGCAGGUGGUUUCUUAAGUCUGAUGUGAAAGCCCACGGCUCAACCGUGGAGGGUCAUUGGAAACUGGGGAACUUGAGUGCAGAAGAGGAAAGUGGAAUUCCA